This 2505-nucleotide long non-coding RNA is filed under the name Homo sapiens (human). RNAcentral describes it as "HSALNT0365938". Lineage: Eukaryota; Metazoa; Chordata; Mammalia; Primates; Hominidae. The record is from RNAcentral.
UUUUCAGUAAGUGGGGAAACAAUGCUGGUUUACUUUCUCUCUUCGAACUUUUCUGCCUCUCACAUUUGUUUGACAGACCUAAUGCUGACAGUUUUCUAAGAUUCAUUACUGAAAUUUAACUAAAUUUAACACAGCACAUGAAGAAAAGAACCCAAUAUUACACUUUCAUUCACUACAUUAGACUUUCAGAAUUCACUACCAAGCAUAUCUUUUAACAUACGUGUUACAUAUGAAGGAAGCAGACUGCUGCCUAUUUCCUCAUUUAUUAAUAUAUUCAGUCAUUUAUUCAACAAAUGUCGAACAUUAUUGAGCAUCUAGCACGUACUAUAUUUGGGCCAAGAAAUGCAGUGAACAAUUCCUACUGUCAUGGUCCCUGCCUUCUAAUAAUACACAAAUAAACAACACACACAAACAACAUUCUAAUUCUACAUAUAUAAUUAAUUGCAAUUGCAAUAAAUACUAUAAAAGUAUAGGGGCCACGAAAGUGUAUAAUGGGGGUGUGAAUCUGAGAGAUCAGGAGAUGCUUCCCUCAGGAAGUGACAUUUAAGGUGGAACAUGAUGAAUAAGGAGGGUUCAGGAGAAGCUUCCCUCAGGAAGUGACAUGUAAGGUGGAACAUGAUGAAUAAGGAGGGCUCAGGAGAAGCUUCCCUCAGGAAGUGACAUGUAAGGUGGAACAUGAUGAAUAAGGAGGGUUCAGGAGAAGUUUCCCUCAGGAAGUCACAUGUAAGGUGGAACAUGAUGAAUAAGGAGGGUUCAGGAGAAGCUUUCCUCAGGAAGUCACAUUUAAGGUGGAACAUGAUGAAUAAGGAGGGUUCAGGAGAAGCUUCCCUCAGGAAGUGACAUGUAAGAUGGAACAUGAUGAAUAAGAUGUAAGGUGGAACAUGAUGAAUAAGGAGGGUUCAGGAGAAGCUUCCCUCAGGAAGUGACAUGUAAGGUGGAACAUGAUGAAUAAGGAGGGUUCAGGAGAAGUUUCCCUCAGGAAGUGACAUGUAAGGUGGAACAUGAUGAAUAAGGAGGGUUCAGGAGAAGCUUCCCUCAGGAAGUGACGUUUAAGGUGGAACAUGAUGAAUAAGGAGGGUUCAGGAGAAGCUUCCCUCAGGAAGUGACAUGUAAGGUGGAACAUGAUGAAUAAGGAGGGUUCAGGAGAAGCUUUCCUCAGGAAGUGACAUUUAAGGUGGAACAUGAUGAAUAAGGAGGGUUCAGGAGAAGCUUCCCUCAGGAAGUGACAUGUAAGGUGGAACAUGAUGAAUAAGGAGGGUUCAGGAGAAGCUUCCCUCAGGAAGUGACAUGUAAGAUGGAACAUGAUGAAUAAGAUGUAAGGUGGAACAUGAUGAAUAAGGAGGGUUCAGGAGAAGCUUCCCUCAGGAAGUGACAUGUAAGGUGGAACAUGAUGAAUAAGGAGGGCUCAGGAGAAGCUUCCCUCAGGAAGUGACAUGUAAGAUGGAACAUGACGAAUAAGAUGUAAGGUGGAACAUGAUGAAUAAGGAGGGUUCAGGACACGCUUCCCUCAGGAAGUGACAUGUAAGGUGGAACAUGAUGAAUAAGGAGGGCUCAGGAGAAGCUUCCCUCAGGGAGUGACAUGUAAGAUGGAACAUGAUGAAUAAGAUGUAAGGUGGAACAUGACGAAUAAGGAGGUUUCAGGAGAAGCUUCCCUCAGGGAGUGACAUGUAAGAUGGAACAUGAUGAAUAAGAUGUAAGGUGGAACAUGAAUAAGGAGGGCUCAGGAGAAGCUUCCCUCAGGGAGUGACAUGUAAGAUGGAACAAGAUGAAUAAGAUGUAAGGUGGAACAUGACGAAUAAGGAGGUUUCAGGAGAAGCUUCCCUCAGGAAGUGACAUGUAAGACGGAACAUGAUGAAUAAGAUGUAAGGUGGAACAUGAUGAAUAAGGAGGGUUCAGGAGAAGCUUCCCUCAGGAAGUGACAUGUAAGAUAGAACAUGAUGAAUAAAGAGGGCUCAGGAGAAGCUUCCCUCAGGAAGUGACAUGUAAGAUGGAACAUGACGAAUAAGAUGUAAGGUGGAACAUGAUGAAUAAGGAGGGUUCAGGAGAAGCUUCCCUCAGGAAGUGACAUGUAAGGUGGAACAUGAUGAAUAAGGAGGGCUGAGGAGAAGCUUCUCUCAGGGAGUGACAUGUAAGAUGGAACAUGAUGAAUAAGAUGUAAGGUGGAACAUGAUGAAUAAGGAGGGUUCAGGAGAAGCUUCCCUCAGGAAGUGACAUGUAAGGUGGAACAUGAUGAAUAAGGAGGGCUCAGGAGAAGCUUCCCUCAGGAAGUGACAUGUAAGAUGGAACAUGAUGAAUAAGAUGUAAGGUGGAACAUGAUGAAUAAGGAGGGUUCAGGAGACGCUUCCCUCAGGAAGUGACAUGUAAGGUGGAACAUGAUGAAUAAGGAGGGCUCAGGAGAAGCUUCCCUCAGGAAGUGACAUGUAAGAUGGAACAUGAUGAAUAAGAUGUAAGGUGGAACAUGAUGAAUAAGGAGGGUUCAGGAGAAGCUUCCCUCAGGAAGUGACA